Molecule: long non-coding RNA, 674 nt
Organism: Argiope bruennichi
Lineage: Eukaryota; Metazoa; Arthropoda; Arachnida; Araneae; Araneidae
Exons: 2
Source: RefSeq, a predicted model, not a curated record
UUUGAUUGGAGAGUGCUCCGCGCGUGGAUGAGACAAGUCACAGUUGCCUGCCUGUGUGAGUUAAAAUAGUUUGCAUGGUUCCCUUGAUUGACAAGUUGGAAUGAAUAGAAACCAGGAGCAGCUCACAAGAGUAGAGUUAUGUUAUUUUUUUUAAAUAACAUGGUUAUUUUUUUCCAACAUGGCUAUUUUGCAUGUGCAUUACGCGCUGUUUUAUUAAGACAGGCAUCAAAAAGGGUGAUGUUGUUGGGAUUCACCACAGAGCCGUAACCUCACGGCAGAGAAGGCUGGUAGAAACAAAGGAUAUUCCGGCGUUGCCGACAAGCGGACCUAUUGUUUCCUCUGGCUCGGCGACAAUAUGUGCCACUGCUUGCGGAAACGUAUUCUCUCCUUGGAAAGUGUCUUUCAAAGAUGAAGAUGAUCAAGUUUAUGCAAUGAAAUUUAAUCUAUUAUUUUACAGAUUUAUCCUUUCUAACAGAAAGAACCAUCGCCUUUAAAAAAUAAUAAUAACUUUCGACAAGCAUGAUUGAAGUUCGUGCAAAAUGCUCUAUAUGGCACUUUACCGGGAUUAACCAGUUAAAUGCGAACGAUGUGUAUAUAUGUCAGUCUAAAUCUUCAUUUGGACGCGGUCGAUGUUUAAUUUUUUAUCUAAUAAAAAUGAAAUUUUAUUCUCUUUA